RNAcentral lists this ribosomal RNA (327 nucleotides) under uncultured eukaryote. RNAcentral describes it as "partial 18S ribosomal RNA". It matches the Rfam family "Eukaryotic small subunit ribosomal RNA", at positions 1470 to 1796 of the family's 1831-position model. The record is from RNAcentral.
CCCUUAGAUGUUCUGGGCCGCACGCGCGCUACACAGACGAAUGCAACGAGCUUAUAACCUUGGCCGAAAGGUCUGGGUAAUCUCCAAAUUUCGUCGUGAUGGGGAUAGAUUAUUGCAAUUAUUAAUCUUCAACGAGGAAUGCCUAGUAAGCGCAAGUCAUCAGCUUGCGUUGAUUACGUCCCUGCCCUUUGUACACACCGCCCGUCGCUCCUACCGAUUGAAUGGUCCGGUGAAGCGUUCGGACCGUGGCCUUUGGACGGUUCGCCGUCUGUUGGCUGCGGGAAGUUCGUUAAACCUUAUCAUUUAGAGGAAGGAGAAGUCGUAACA